GACGAACGCUGGCGGCGUGCUUAACACAUGCAAGUCGAACGGUAAGGCUCCAGCUUGCUGGGGUACACGAGUGGCGAACGGGUGAGUAACACGUGGGUGACCUGCCCUGCACUUCGGGAUAAGCCUGGGAAACUGGGUCUAAUACCGGAUAGGACCGCACCGUGAGGGUGUGGUGGAAAGUUUUUUCGGUGUGGGAUGGGCCCGCGGCCUAUCAGCUUGUUGGUGGGGUAAUGGCCUACCAAGGCGGCGACGGGUAGCCGGCCUGAGAGGGUGGACGGCCACAUUGGGACUGAGACACGGCCCAGACUCCUACGGGAGGCAGCAGUGGGGAAUAUUGCACAAUGGGCGGAAGCCUGAUGCAGCGACGCCGCGUGGGGGAUGACGGCCUUCGGGUUGUAAACUCCUUUCACCAUCGACGAAGGGUUUCUGACGGUAGAUGGAGAAGAAGCACCGGCUAACUACGUGCCAGCAGCCGCGGUAAUACGUAGGGUGCGAGCGUUGUCCGGAAUUACUGGGCGUAAAGAGCUCGUAGGUGGUUUGUCGCGUCGUCUGUGAAAUUCCGGGGCUUAACUCCGGGCGUGCAGGCGAUACGGGCAUAACUUGAGUACUGUAGGGGAGACUGGAAUUCCUGGUGUAGCGGUGAAAUGCGCAGAUAUCAGGAGGAACACCGGUGGCGAAGGCGGGUCUCUGGGCAGUAACUGACGCUGAGGAGCGAAAGCAUGGGGAGCGAACAGGAUUAGAUACCCUGGUAGUCCAUGCCGUAAACGGUGGGCGCUAGGUGUGGGUUUCCUUCCACGGGAUCCGUGCCGUAGCUAACGCAUUAAGCGCCCCGCCUGGGGAGUACGGCCGCAAGGCUAAAACUCAAAGGAAUUGACGGGGGCCCGCACAAGCGGCGGAGCAUGUGGAUUAAUUCGAUGCAACGCGAAGAACCUUACCUGGGCUUGACAUAUACAGGAUCGCGCCAGAGAUGGUGUUUCCCUUGUGGCUUGUAUACAGGUGGUGCAUGGUUGUCGUCAGCUCGUGUCGUGAGAUGCUGGGUUAAGUCCCGCAACGAGCGCAACCCUUGUCUUAUGUUGCCAGCACGUUGUGGUGGGGACUCGUAAGAAACUGCCGGGGUUAACUCGGAGGAAGGUGGGGAUGACGUCAAAUCAUCAUGCCCCUUAUGUCCAGGGCUUCACACAUGCUACAAUGGUCGGUACAGUGGGUUGCCAGUCCGUGAGGGCGAGCUAAUCCCGCAAAGCCGGUCUCAGUUCGGAUCGGGGUCUGCAACUCGACCCCGUGAAGUCGGAGUCGCUAGUAAUCGCAGAUCAGCAACGCUGCGGUGAAUACGUUCCCGGGCCU
This 1341-nucleotide ribosomal RNA is filed under the name uncultured bacterium. RNAcentral's name for it is "16S ribosomal RNA". It matches the Rfam family "Bacterial small subunit ribosomal RNA", at positions 28 to 1381 of the family's 1533-position model. The record is from RNAcentral.